This 1555-nucleotide ribosomal RNA is filed under the name human gut metagenome. Its description in RNAcentral is "bacterial LSU rRNA". It matches the Rfam family "Bacterial large subunit ribosomal RNA", at positions 844 to 2444 of the family's 2925-position model. The record is from RNAcentral.
GAUAGCUGGUUCUCCUCGAAAUAGCUUUAGGGCUAGCCUUGUGUAGUAGUAUAUGGGGGUAGAGCACUGACUGAGGUAGGGGCCUAACCAGGUUACCAAACUCUAUCAAACUCCGAAUACCGUAUAUGUAAGCACAGGAGUCAGACUGCGGGAGCUAAGUUCCGUGGUCAAAAGGGAAAGAGCCCAGAUCGUCAAUUAAGGUCCCAAAGAUAUAGCUAAGUGGCAAACGAUGUGAUUUUGCGUAAACAACCAGGAUGUUGGCUUAGAAGCAGCCAUACAUUUAAAGAGUGCGUAAUAGCUCACUGGUCGAGUGAAGUUGCGCGGAAAAUUACCGGGGCUAAGCUAUACACCGAAAUUGCGGAUUUACACUUGAAAGAUAGUGUAAGUGGUAGAGGAGCAUUCUGUAGUAGGGAGAAGCAAAAGCGAGAGCAUUUGUGGACGAGGCAGAAGAGAGAAUGCUGGAAUAAGUAGCGAGAGCAAGGUGAGAAUCCUUGCCGUCGAAAGUCUAAGGUUUCCUGGGGAAGGUUCGUCCGCCCAGGGUAAGUCGGGACCUAAGGUGAGGCUGAAAAGCGUAGCCGAUGGAUAGCAGGUUGAGAUUCCUGCACUAUAGAUAUACUUAAAAGAUGCAAGGGACGCAGGAGUGGAAGAUAAGCGAGGAAGAGGAAAGACUCGUAUCGCAAGAUAUAGUGAAAAUAAAGUAACGAAUUAUCAAGAAGCACACUGACGAGAAAAGCUUGUAGAUAUUGUAUAUAAAUACCCGUACCGCAAACCGACACAGGUAGAUGAGGAGAGGAUCCUAAGACGAGCGGGAGAAGCAUUGUUAAGGAACUCGGCAAAUUGACCCCGUAACUUAGGGAGAAGGGGUGCCAAGGUAGAACUUGGCCGCAGUGAAGAGGUUCAAGCAACUGUUUAACAAAAACACAGGUUUCUGCUAAAUCGAAAGAUGAAGUAUAGGAGCUGACGCCUGCCCAGUGCUGGAAGGUCAAAGGGAAGUGUUAGUAAAAACUUACGAAGCACAGAACUCAAGCCCCAGUGAACGGCGGCCGUAACUAUAACGGUCCUAAGGUAGCGAAAUUCCUUGUCAGGUAAGUUCUGACCCGCACGAAAGGCGUAAUGAUUUGAACACUGUCUCGACAAUGUACCCGGCGAAAUUGUAGUACUAGUGAAGAUGCUAGUUACCUGCGACAAGACAGAAAGACCCCAUGGAGCUUUACUGCAGCUUGAUACUGGGUUUUGGUAAUUUAUGUACAGGAUAGGUGGGAUACGAAGAAGCAAGUGCGCCAGCAUUUGUGGAGUAGACGUUGGGAUACCACUCUUAAAUUAUUGAAAUUCUAACCUGUGAUCAUGAACUGGUCAGGGGACAAUGUCAGGCGGGCAGUUUGACUGGGGCGGUCGCCUCCUAAAGAGUAACGGAGGCGCCCAAAGGUUUCCUCAGCACGGACAGAAAUCGUGCAAAAGAGUGUAAAGGCAGAAGGAAGCUUAACUGGGAGACUGACAAGUCGAGCAGAUACGAAAGUAGGGCUUAGUGAUCCGGCGGUAGUGAGUGGAAAUGCCG